RNAcentral lists this ribosomal RNA (253 nucleotides) under uncultured prokaryote. RNAcentral's name for it is "partial 16S ribosomal RNA". It matches the Rfam family "Bacterial small subunit ribosomal RNA", at positions 524 to 776 of the family's 1533-position model. The record is from RNAcentral.
GACGUAGGGGGCAAGCGUUAUUCGGAAUUAUUGGGCGUAAAGCGCUCGUAGGCGGUUGGAUAAGUCUUGUGUGAAAUCUUCGGGCUCAACUCGAAGUCUGCACGAGAAACUGUCUGGCUUGAGUAUGGGAGAGGUGAGUGGGAUUCCUGGUGUAGCGGUGAAAUGCGUAGAUAUCAGGAGGAACACCUGUGGCGAAAGCGGCUCACUGGACCAUAACUGACGCUGAUGCACGAAAGCUAGGGGAGCAAACAGG